AGUGAACGCUGGCGGUAGGCCUAACACAUGCAAGUCGAACGGCGGCACAGUAAGAGCUUGCUCUUACGGGUGGCGAGUGGCGGACGGGUGAGGAAUACAUCGGAAUCUACUUUUUCGUGGGGGAUAACGUAGGGAAACUUACGCUAAUACCGCAUACGACCUACGGGUGAAAGCAGGGGAUCUUCGGACCUUGCGCGAUUGAAUGAGCCGAUGUCGGAUUAGCUAGUUGGCGGGGUAAAGGCCCACCAAGGCGACGAUCCGUAGCUGGUCUGAGAGGAUGAUCAGCCACACUGGAACUGAGACACGGUCCAGACUCCUACGGGAGGCAGCAGUGGCGAAUAUUGGACAAUGGGCGCAAGCCUGAUCCAGCCAUACCGCGUGGGUGAAGAAGGCCUUCGGGUUGUAAAGCCCUUUUGUUGGGAAAGAAAAGCAGCAGGUUAAUACCCCGCUGUUCUGACGGUACCCAAAGAAUAAGCACCGGCUAACUUCGU
This 491-nucleotide ribosomal RNA is filed under the name uncultured bacterium. Its description in RNAcentral is "partial 16S ribosomal RNA". It matches the Rfam family "Bacterial small subunit ribosomal RNA", at positions 29 to 506 of the family's 1533-position model. The record is from RNAcentral.